Molecule: long non-coding RNA, 1404 nt
Filed under: Apteryx haastii (Great spotted kiwi)
Lineage: Eukaryota; Metazoa; Chordata; Aves; Apterygiformes; Apterygidae
Description: lncRNA (ENSAHAG00000015833.1)
Source: RNAcentral
AUGACAGUUCUUCCUUGUGCAGGACCCACUUGUCCCCAUCAUCCCCAAGUCCCAGUCCCCCAUGUCCCCAGUGCAGUGAGAGCUGGGCUUAGAGCCCCAAACCCGGCCAAAUGGCCUCUCCUGCCCCAUACACCAGGUCCUGCCAGGAGAAACAUCCCCUCCCCAGCCACAACCCCACUGGCUCAGUUACCUUCCCCUCGAGGAGCUGCUCAGGGCGCAGGAACUGGUGGGAGAAGACCUUGUCUCCAGGGGGGCAGCUGCCGGGGGUCUGGUGCCCCAGGGGCCCUGGGCAGAGGGGAGAGGGGAGCGUCAGGGGGGCGCGGUGGCAGCGAGGACUGGCUGUGCUGCGCUUGGCCCACCGGGGCCCCAUGCUGGGGGGGGACAGGUGUCCUCCAGCCCCAUGGCAGCAGGAUGUCCCUCACCUGCUGUGGAAUUCAGCUGCCCGUUGCGUGGCUCCGAUCCCAAAAGGUGCUGCUGGAGGUCAUCGCCGGCGGAGGGCAGCGGCUGGGGGAGAGGAAAGGUGAGCGGAGGAGGGAUUUCCACCAGCGAGGGGCCCUGUCCCACUGCAGGGGGUGCCAGGGUCRGUCUUGCACCCACCGCCAGGAGCGAGGAGGGGAGGUCCCCACCCUGGGCACGGCUUUAACCCCUGGUACCUAUCAGAUCCGUGGGGCUCAACUGGGGGAGCAGGAAGGGGGAGAGCCGGGGGCCAGCACCUACCCUGGCGUUCUCAAUGAGGAUGCUGGUGCUCUGCCCGUUGGUGCCCUCGGUGCUCUGGCCGCUGCCGGCGCUGCGGAUGCUGCCGAUGCUGCCCUCGCUGCCCACGCUGUUCCUGUCUCCUGCUGUUUGGGGCAGGAGCGGGGCACGUCAGCCGCGCAGGCCUGCCGGUACCCGCGCACGCAGCGCCACGGGGCAGCGCCCCYGGGCCAGGGCGACACAAAGCUCCCCGGCAAGGACCCUACUGCUUCACCACAUGGCCAUGGCCUCGGUUGCCUGCGCAGGAACAGGCCUGGCGUCGGCCAACUCGGGGACGCCGGUAAAGACCAGUCUCACACGAGAGCCUUCCAGCCACCAACGAUCUACCAGUGCCUCCCACCUCCCAGCGCACAUGGCAUGGACAGGGCAGCCUGGGCUGGCAGGGGCGCACGGAGGGGCUGUGGGGACCGAGCCGGGCCGAGGACACGGGGAGGGAAGGGGGCUGCUCUACGGGCUCCCCUAAACUCCACUUCCCUGUGGCUGCUCCCCUCUCGUCUGGCUGUUUCCCUGCUGCGAGCUGGAAAGAGUCUUCCCCUGUGUCCCCCUGCGCAGCAGGGCAGGGUGACAGGGGAAGGUCCCCAGCCCGUCUCCCUCCCCAGCAGCACCCCUGACCUGAGCCGUCAGGGCCCGGGACCGUCCGGGUUAGGGUGA